Molecule: unclassified non-coding RNA, 432 nt
Filed under: soil metagenome
Description: partial contains 5.8S ribosomal RNA, internal transcribed spacer 2, and large subunit ribosomal RNA
Rfam family: 5.8S ribosomal RNA (bases 1-120)
Source: RNAcentral
GAUGAAGAACGUAGCGAAAUGCGAUACGUAAUGUGAAUUGCAGAAUUCAGUGAAUCAUCGAAUCUUUGAACGCAUAUUGCGCUCUCUGGUAUUCCGGAGAGCAUGCUUGUUUGAGUAUCAGUAAACACCUCAACUUCCAUAUCUUUUUUGAAAUGGGAGUUGGACUUGAGUGAUCCCAACGCUUUUCCUCACCGAAAAGUGGCGGGUUACUUGAAAUGCAGGUGCAGCUGGACUUUUCUCUGAGCUAUAAGCAUAUCUAUUUAGUCUGCCUAAAAACCAGAUUAUUACCUUUGCUGCAGCUAACAUAAAGGAGAUUAGUUCUUGUGCUGACUGAUGCAGGAUUCACAAAGACAGCUUCGGCCGACUUUGUAAACUCGAUCUCAAAUCAAGUAAGACUACCCGCUGAACUUAAGCAUAUCAAUAAGCGGAGGA